GGUAGUCCACUCCGAAUGCACAAUCCGUAGAUUUCAGAUAAAAUGAGGUCCUAAAGUGGGCCAGGCCGGACCUGUAUGCGCGCCUCAAGUCCAAAAUCCCACCAGCCCACUUCAUUUUUGGAGGUCAUUCAGCGCGUCAGUGAAUCCAGGAGAAAAGAGAGGAGGGAGGUAUUUAGGGUUCAUAUCCUUGACGUUGCUCAAGGAAACUGAGAGCUACAAUGGCUACUUUGGUUGGGAGAUCAACCUGUACACUGAUGCGGGAAACAUUUCCUAGAACAAUUUGUCAAUCAACAAUCAGAAGCAAAAGCAUUUCUAUGCCUCCCUCAAUUCUCCCUAACGCCACUCUACGUGUUUCUCCAUCUUCACCUUCUUCUCCAAGGUUGCCUUUGCUCUCCUUUUUUCCCAUUAAAGCUGUUCCUUUUUUAGUUGCAUGGCUGUAUUUUGUUUCUCGUUUGAAUGGGACAACCACAAAUAAUUGUGCGCAUUGGUCAUAUCGGCAGGAUGGUUUUACGACGAGAAUUGAGCUCACUUCUGCCCUUCCACAGUGCCACUGCUUCAGCUUGCCUUGUCUCCAAGCUUCCCUCUUUAGAUUGUUCCUCCUCUGAAGGUUCUUUCCACAUACACUUCUUGCUAUAACUUCUGGUUCUUAAUAUUAGUUUAGUUAGAGGUCUUCGCUGAUCAAAAGAAUCGUGAAUGACUAUAAUAGUCAUGAAUUGAAUGUUUCUUCUUGUUAUAAGAGGCUUUUGAGUAUUUUGAAUUGAAGUGACAUAGUCAGCUAAUUUCCGGCCAUGGUAAAAAAUUUAGUGCUAAGUAUUGGAUUUGAUGUUUAACAUAUAGAACUAAUGGCCAUAGGAAAAUUAGGAUGAGAACUUGACCUGGUGCUGAGAUGGCUUGGAAUUACUUGUCGAAAUGCUCUGUAGUGGUUUCCUACAGUCAGGCCUAAGAUCAGGCCGAAAGGUAUAAUGGUUCUUGUGCUUAGAGAGACCGUUUGAAGUGGUUUUGGAAUCUUCCCUGUUGUAAAGAUGGAUUAGGGUGCAAAACAAAUGGCUCCAACCCAGUUCUGUAGCAAAAAUUUGAGAGUUGGAAAACGGAAUGUAACUGAAUUGUCAUAUGGUCAAACUUGGGGUUUUGGUUCAUUGAGAUGGAUAGGAAACUUUCUCAAACUGGUGUCUGAACUGAUCCUGAUUCUACAAUUUUAUACAAGCACACCGAGCAAAUACAUGCAAGGGAGACAGAAUAAAUUUAGGUUGUAUCUAAUAUACUCAUGUGGUGGCUCAUUCAGUUUUGUUUCCUGAUUACAGGGAGAUUUGUUAACUAUGUCAGCCCCAUCUAGCUUCAAGUUCUGCUACUGGGAAGAGAUGCGUCAUAGAAUUUGGCUGAGUGAUUUUACAAUGGUAAUCGAAGAACUGGGAUACGAAGUUGCUGGUUUAUUUCUCCAACUGACAAUCUGGCUCCAAGGUUAAUUCCUGAACAUGUUUGUUUAUAUUCUUCGACGCAGCUGCUUGUUAUUGAGCUUGGCCGUGAAUUCAUACUAGUGUCAUCAUUUGGCAAUGAGUAAAAUUUUAAUUACUCGGACCAUAGUGGUAUUUGUAGCAUCAUAUUAUGCAUGCACUUACUGGUGGUGCAAUUUCUGGGUUUAUGGAUUAUAGAGAUAAUACCUUUCUGGAAGCCUGUAUUUGUUUGUACUGUACCUUCUGGUAAAAUGCACUGUUGCUGCGUUGCUGAUAUUCAUCAUAAAAGAUUGUCUUAGGAUAUUCUUCCAUUAUAUCUGGUUUCUAUACUCAUUAAUCCAGUUAAGUAGAAGUUAGUGGAGGAAAGUUGAAUUGAGGUUGUGGGAUACUAGUAGUUGAAUUGAGGGAUAGAAAAUAUUUGCAGGAAAGUUAAAUUCCCCCCUUGAGUAGCUUUGAAAUCACAAUUCCACUUGAUGGGAAUAUAGUUCAUGAACUAGCUACGCUUGUUUCUAGUUGAUAUCGUUAUUAAUAUGCUCAUCAACAACAGCUGAUGCCACCAGUAUGGCAAGCAGCGGAUAACUUAUCGUU
RNAcentral lists this long non-coding RNA (2039 nucleotides) under Linum usitatissimum (flax). Its description in RNAcentral is "long non-coding RNA (LUSI_LNC004328)". The record is from RNAcentral. Lineage: Eukaryota; Viridiplantae; Streptophyta; Magnoliopsida; Malpighiales; Linaceae.